UAUGCACAUAGUUCACUCUGGCACUUGCAUUCCCACUGCAGUGCCCGCUCCUGAAUAAAUGUCAUUUUCUUUUAGAGAGCCUCUCUGUCUGUUAUUUAUUGACACCAAAAAACAGGCUGGGAAACAACCUGGGAGACAGCUUUUCUCGUUCUUGUGUUGUGAGGCAGGGGCUGUCUCAUGCACCCAUGUCCCCAGGAGUCAUAAUGGCCUGUGUCAUCGCAGUAGACGACAUCAGCAAAGGAGGCUUCAGUAACAGGGGCCUGUUAGUCUCACAGUGUACCCGGGAGAGAAGGUUCUAGGACACACCCGGGCCCCAGAGACUACAGCUGAGACAAGAAGAAAUGGGUCGCAGGGAGGAUCACGCGCCACCCUGUUUUUCCUGCAGAAGUUUUGGGUAAACACAAACAAAAGCGUCCAAAAUGCUUCAAAGGAUGAAGGGAACCAGAAUCGGGCCCCAUACGGCUUCAGAAAAUGGGGCAAGGACACAGACAGGAAACACAGAAACCUGCACAUUUCUAUGUAAAUGCCGUGGUUGAAAUGCGGCAAGGCAGCGGGAUCACAGGCAACAGAGCACUGCCCAGGGCGGCGUCGAGGGCUCCACUGGGGCCACCCCUGAGCUCAGAGCAGGCCCAGGCUCAAACUGCCCACCGGGAGCUGCCUGAUUCUCUCCACAGCUGAUCCGUGCCCAGGCCUCGGCUGGCGUUCCCAGGGCACAUCAUCCUCCAACAACCUCGUGAGGAAGCAUUCUAUCGCCCCUGCUUUAGAGUUGGGGAAACUGAGGCUCAGAGGACAAGUCCUGGCUAAUGAGACAUCACAGGAAGUCUCCUGGGGGGUCUAGAGAAGCCUGUCCUCUCUGGGAGGGAAAAAAUGUGUCCUGCCACCUUUCUUCCUUUUUGGGGUAUACUGUUGUGUGAGAUGUGAUGUCUGGAGCUGCUGCUGCCCUUCUGUGACUGUGAGGAACAUCAUAGCAGACACAUAGGGGCUGGUGUGGAGCUUAGUCAAAGGAACCCUGAGUCUUGAGCAUAUCAUGGCCCAGUUCCAGAACCUUCUCUCCCAGGUACAUUGUGAGAUUAACAGGCUCCUGUUAUUGAAGGUUCUUUUGGUGAUGUCCUCUACUGUGAUGACACAGGCCAUUAUGACUUCUGGGGUCAUGAGACAGGCCCUGCCUCAAAGUGCUCUCAGGAACCUUCUGAGCUCCUCCCACCCCAGGCUCUGCUCGGGGAAAACUGCCCAGCACACACACUCUUGCAGCAUGCAGACUCUUAAGAAAACUGUACAAUCAUGUUUUUAAAAUUACACAAAGAAGCACUGGGACAGGCCCCUACGAUCCUGAGCUUUUUUGUCCCCUGGCUCCUAACGCCAAAGAGCAAAUGGGAAGAACUCCUCUUCCCUCAAAGGCCAGGAGACGCCCACACUGAGGACCUCAGUGCUGGUGACACAUGCUUCAGAUAAUUACUCCAGUCAUAAAGCAGAAGGCAGCUGUGAAAAUGAGCGGUCAUGUGAAGACUGUGCAGUCCAGGUCAGCGAUGACUCCGUAGUUGCAUGCCCAGUGUUUCUUAAAGGCUGCGUUACUGUAUUUCUAAACUGUGACAAUUUCAACUUGUAAUUAUGACAUUCAGAGCACCACUCACCAUUCCCUUCCUUCCAAGGUUUUUCAGAAAAGACACUCAUGACAGUUUGUUUUCUAAACCCAAAUACCAUAUGACGGUGUGUGUGCACACAUGUGUGCGUGUGUAAGUGUGUGUCACUUUCUUGUUGCCAUCCCGGCAGCUGAGUGUGGGGCACAUUCAAUACAUUAAUAGUAGGAUUGUGGCUAAAGUCCAAUACAGCUAAAAUCUAGAGAGGAAAAAAAUUAGUUAGAAAUACACAACUCUUCACGUUUAGGCUUCAACUCCAAAGACACUAUAAAUUUGUAAAGUCAAAGUCUAGGGCUUGAAAAGAGCCGGUUCCAAGUUGGCUCUGCCAUGAAUUGCGAAGUGGAAGUGUAGGCUGGCUUCUCAAUGGCCUGGUUGCGGGGCCAGCCAGCUGGCUUCCCUGUUUAAAGAGUGGGACAGCCACUUUUCCAACAGAGCUCUGAGCCAAAGUUCACACUGUCAGGGUCAUGGACAGAGCAGAGACUAAAGAGUUUUCUUCUCAGAAGGUGCUCCCAGGAUCAAAGGGCUGUGACCUGGCAAUUUGAAGUUCCCUGCUGAUGGGAAAGACAGGACAGGCUUGGAAUUCAGCCCCUGGGGACAUGGGAAAGGGAGGAGAGAGGGGGUCCCUGUGCCUUUUGCUGAGAAGGAAUGGGUAGUUGGCAUCCAUUUCUUCAUUAGGGAGCCCCUGGCCAUGUCUCCAGCACAGCACUUAAAAGUAGCCCUUUCUGUUAAAAUUUAAAAUGGACAGCACAUCCAUUUACCUAGCCAUUCCCCUUGCAAAAUGAGCUAUAUAAAAACACUCAAAUACAAUAGGGACCCUAAAUUAAGAACCUCUAUUAUGAAAGAAUGAUGAAAAUAGAAAAUCACCAUUUGGCAAAUGCCACAGUAAUGAUUGCUGCGAGCAAGAUGACAGUAUGAGAAAAACAAGAUGUUUGUGUAGACUCAAAGUACAAAAUGCAUAUACAUGACAAAGGGAAAAAUAACACAGCAGCUGAGAAACCUGACAGAUAUCACCAUAACCAAGUGAUCAAAGUUAAUAUCACCAGUUGUGAGAGGUAUCAAUUUGACGUGUCUCUUAAUAUUAAUAUGAUGCUCUGAGAAGGGCUCAGUGUCAUUUUUGCAGUAUCUUUGCUAAAAAUGCAUCAUCUCAAUCAAAUCAUGAGGAAACAUCAGACAAGCCCAAACUGAGGAACAUCUACAACAUCACCGGCCAGUACUUUCCAAAUUGUUAUGGUCAUGGAGCAAGUGUUCCAGAUUGGAGGCAACACGACACCUUAAAUGCAAAAGGGGGCCGUGGACCAGAAAAAAGGAUAUUAAUGGGACAGUUGGCAAAAUAUGGGAAAAGAAAAACUGAGAGAUUAAACCUCGUUGCCCAUGGAUACAGUUCAACCAGAGGCUGAGCUGGGAAGGGAACCCAGCCUUCCUGCCCCGGAAACCAACAGGGUCCCAACCACCCAACACAAACUGUGAACCCCGCCUCUGCCAGGUACCAGGGGAACUGGUCCUGAAAUUGUGGGAGACGUCAGCAGCCUGGGCCCUUCCUUUGACCAGGGAGAAUCAGCCCUAUCUCAGGCACUCGGAAAUCUGGACACACAUACAGUGGGAAGACGACAUGAGGAACAGGGAGAAUACGGCCACCUACAAGCCAAGGAGAACGUCCUCAAAAGAAACCAAGCCUGCCAACACCUUGAUCUCUGACUUCCAAAAUUCAGAACUCUGAGAAAGAACGUUCUGUUGUUUAAGCCACCCAGUCUUGGUAGGGCAGCUGUAGCCAACUCGUGCAUGUAAUGACUCCCUCCAAACUGCUCAACAAUUCUGAUACACAGGAAUUUUGUAGGUAAGAAAACUGAGACUCAAGAGAAGAAGAUUCAAAGUCACACGAUGAGCGAGUGGUACGUUUACGUGUUGAAAUGCAGUAGUCCGACUGCAGACCCCACGCUACAUCCACGUGCUCAUGAGGAUGGGCGGAUAGUCUGAGAGCAAACAGAGCAGCCCCUGGCAGGCCCUUAGUAGCCACGGCCCUCAAGGGACAUGAACAACAGCAGGGAGGAACUAUCCCUACCCCGUGUAUGAAACCAGUAAGAUGAUUGAGGGCAAUUUAGGUAGGAUCCUCAACAGCAGGACCCAUGGGGAGGGCUCUUGUACAGAUGAGGAAACUGAGGCACAGGGAGGGGUAAAUGACUCGUCCAAAGCCACCCAACAAGUCAACAGGCAACCCUUGGCCACUUUGUUACACAGCCAGAUGGACCUGAAGCCCACCCCAGACUACGGUGGUGGUCUCUCCUUGGGGCCAUGUGCCCGGGACAGGCAGGCCCUGCGUCGGGAGACAGUAGCUGCCGACCGAGCCACGGAAGACCAGGAGCCGGCAGGGGCAGGGGCCUGGGCCGCAGGAGAGCGUCGGCAUCCAAGCGAGAUCUGCACGGCCCACAGCAAGGAGCCAAAUCUAACAAGAGGAAACAUGACCAGGCGGGUGUGAAGUCCUGCGCUGCAGCCCCCAAACCCAGCGGGCGAGCCCCAGAUGGGGUGUAGAGGUUCCCGCCAACAAUAAGUUCAGUGUGAGUCGAUGUGUGUUCGGGGCCUCCGAAAAGCAAAGGCCAGCUCAGGCUGUCUUACUAACCAAACAGCAUCAAGCACAAGCCUUGCUCCCCUCCACACCUGCCAGCCCGAGCGUGGUGGACUCUGGGAUGUGCCACCCAGAUCCCAUGUAACCAAGGGCUUUUUGCCCCCACUGUGGGAGGUGCCAUCAGCAGACAUCGUUCAGCUGCCCAGAGUCACCCAAGGUCGGGCUCUUCCCGGGCACCCCGUGUCCCGGGACUGGUUGAUGCAGAGCUGAAAGGCCCUGUGGCAUCCUGGCUGCAGAGCUUCCGGCCGGGUCCGUGGCAGCUGUCACGGCCUGCAUCACGCCCCCUCCCUUCCACGGGCAUCAGUCCUAAAGCCAUCCCUGACAAACGCCCUCAGUGUUAGACUCUGCCUCGGAAUCUGCCUCCUGGGCACUCCUGGUGUCGGCCGUGAGCCCCAGUAGGAAAGGCGCCCUGGGAGGACACGUCUGUGGCCGCUGUCGCAUGAGCAGAUGACUGAGCUGGGGGGGAGGAGAGGCUGACCUCAGAGCAGCGAGCCCCGUGGAAAGAAGACAGGUCACAGCCCGAGCUUCGGCUGUGGAGGUGGAGGGAGGCCCGGGGGCCCUCAGAUUCAGAACCGCCGUCUCCGCAGGGCAGGUGAGGACUGCCCGGAACGAGUCCUGCAGAUACAUCAAGUAGAAAUCAGCCGAGGCCACGUGGACAGGGGAGCUGGGCCAGAUCUGCUCGCGUGGCCCCAGAGGACCGAGUUGGGUCAGAACAUGAACCUACUGGGAGACAGGCUUCGGCUCCAGCUAAGGGGGCGCCUGCUAAGGAAGAGCUUGUCCCAGGUGCAACGGGCUGGUGCCCUGUCCAGGAAGGAUGAGCAGAGGCACGACACCCCCUUGGUGCGGGUGGGAAGAGAAGAGACACAAUUGGCCCUGGAAGAGCUUGGAGAGCCCCUGCUCUGUUGGAAAAGAGGAGGUGGAAACAUGGAAGGUUUUUAAAGGAGAAGGGAACCCGGUCAGAGCAGGGUCCCAGGGGCAUCCGCCGGGGACAGGGCAGAGGCUGGGGGCUGAGCCCCGUCAGGACAAACGGACAAAGUCCAUGAGGAUGCUCAUGGCCACAGUCCCCUGACCACCCCCUGUGAGGGGACUCGGCCAAUUGGUCCAAAUCAGGUCACCUCACCAGCAAAGUGAGUCUCUGCGGCUGUCGUUCCUGUCUGCCACACACCCGUCUACACACCCGCAGGGAGAUGUGCUUCUGUCCACGUAGGGACAGCUGAGUGUGUGCAACACCAAGGCCCGGUCGGGUUUUAGGGCACAAAAAUCAGUGGGAGCGUUUGGAUAGCAGAUAGAUUCGCCUGCCGUCCUCACAGUAGUUUUUACUGGAACUGCCCGUUCCGAGGCUCUACAGGGGAGGAACUUAAGUCAAGUUCAGGUCACUGGUUUUUAAAGGGAAGGGAUGAUGAUCUGAAAUCCCCGCAGCAACUGACCAAAUCUUUUUGCAAAAACACGAAGGUGACGACAUGGAUUCCAGGGCCAGCUCGAGGCAUUCGGAUCCCCGCCGGGGAAGACAGAGCGGCUCCCGCGUGACCCGCUCCAGGGGGCGCGGCUGUGCCGCAGGCAGCCUCCGGGCCUCCUCCCACUUCAUCACGAGCAUUCAUCUCCAGCACCUUCCAGGCGGGGAACUGCAGGGGCCAGUCUCACCAGCAACACCAGCUCAUCCCCAGCACGCUGGCCAGGAAGAGCUGGUGGGGCCGCUGAUGGAUUGAAUCUCGCAUUUGGAGGGGCAGCUAGGGGCGGAUGUGAUCUGGCUGAGCAGACCAUGUGGUCUGGAGCACUUCGACAGUGAUCCCCAACGGCUCGCAUUAACAGGAGUGCGAGAACGGACACGCCAGGAGAUGGUGCCAAACGCGUUCCACGGGAUCAGCAUUCAGGGACGAUCACAUUCAGGGAAGCCACCUGCUGAGAAACGCCCUGACCAGCAUUUUCACUGGGUGUAUGCCAUGAUCCAGGAAGGCGCCGUGCAUUUGUUCUGGAAAUGGGUACGGAACAACGGCCUUCAGUGUCCACCAAGGGCCACCAUGCCUUUGGCCAACAAAUGGCCUCUACAGACUCUGGAGCUUUCUGUGCAUCCAAGAUCAGGACAGGCCCCAGCAGCUGUGAUCUUCCUCGAAAGGACCGUCUCUCAAUGCCACCAACGAGCUCAGGCUCUCUGGGAAUGGGUCCAGAAGUAUCCACCUAUAGCCGGCUUCCCAGGGGACACUGAUGCCCUCUGGAGUAAGGUAGGUGACUCGAUACACUUCAUGGAAAUUGGAAAAUCAAGCAGUAAUAAGAGCAACCAACAUUUAUUGAGCACUUACUAUGUGCCAGGUGCUGUGCUAAGCCCCUGAUAUGUCUCCUUCCUGUAGUAAGAACUAUUAGUAUCCCUGUUUUACAGGUGACAAAAGCAGAGAGGGUAAAUAACUUCCUCCCCAAAAGAAAUGUGUGCUUAGUGACAUCGUUGCUGAACAUUGGAGUGUCAGGUCCUGUUUUCUCAAAGGCCACACUUGGAGAAGCACUGAUGAGAAUCACCACAUUCUCUCCCAGUUCUGGUUCUAGAAAGAGAGAGAAUCUGGCCUGCUCUUCUGUCCAUGCCAGGCCCCAGCAGGCCUAGUGACUGGUUGCUUUGGGUCACAUGCUCACCCCUGUUCCAGGCAGAUAUGGAGGCAAGUCCCACGGUACAAAACAGGCAGCCUAGGACCUCCUCCAAUGGGGGACUAUGUCCUUUAGAACAAACCAUGAGAGAGGCAGGUCCAUAACUGACCUCUCACAUAAUACACUCAAGUCCCAGCACUCAUCUCCUCCUCCUCUUUCCUUGCUAACCGACCCUUAGUUUUCUUCAGACUCUAGAUAUUAAAAUGUUCAAGAAAGGUGGGCAAAAUCAUAAUCUCAUUGGUCGAGGUGUGGGUAUGUUCAUUCAGUUCUGUUCAAUGACAAGUAAGAAGUCAGCCAAGGGGUUUCUGGAAAAACUUAUCAACUGUGGGGAAGGGAGAUGAAGAAGAGAAGGUGUGUUCUUGUUUCUGGACACAGUUGCAUGAGGAUAUGAUAGCUGGAGCUGGGGCAGCCAUCUUAGGGCCUGGGGAAGGCAGAGCGAGAGGCAGGGUCCUUGGGCAUGUGACACUGUUGAAUUAGCUGACUCUGGAGCCACCCACUUGCCAGGGCUGCCAGAAGUCCCAAGAGCAAUCACAUCUAUAUGAAUGCAAUUUGUGGGUUGCAAACUUCUAGGCAGACAAUGGGCAUUACUAUUAAACUGUCAAUAAUCGUACUUUACAAUGGAAAUGUCAUCAUAAUCCUGAACUAGCUCCAUCUCUUCUAGAACAAAAGGAGACCUGGCUCUUUCCCCUUAUGGUAUCUGCAUUUUUUUCUCCACUAGAUAACCUUCUAGACUGUGUCUGGGUCGGGGAGGGUUAGACUGGUCCAGCCUGACCGGCCUCUUGGUUUUGAGUUUUAUGCCCCUUGAGACUCAAACAUCUCAUUUCCAGAAACUUCAGCAUGGCACAUGCCCUGCGACUCCCACUGCUGACUGCCAAUGGAAAUGCAGCUCUGGGCCACGGUGACGUCAUACAUCAAUUCCACAAAUGUUCACGAAGCCCCUGUCACAUGCAAGGCCCCAGGCUGGCUGUGUGGCCCCUGGGAUGCCCUCACACACCCCAGGGUGGCGGACAGUGCCCGGGCAGUGGGUGGGUGAGCAGAGCCAGGCACCAGUUGCAACAGGAGUCUGAGCUCACACUGCAGCACCUCCCGCUCUGAGAAGCAAAGACAGAAUUUUGUUUGGGUAUAUUGUUUCCCCGAAAGCAUCUAGCCAGGGGCUUGAAAGGAGGAUUAGAAAGGCUCUGCACUGCGGGGGGCCUUGGAAAGAUCGUCUUGUCCCAACGGCGAGAACCCCAGGGCCUGGGAAGGGAAGGGCCCAAGGUGGCACAGCCAGCUGGUGACAGAGCCAGGACAAAAGCCAGGGCUUCUGUUUUUAAUUUUCUCCCAUCCUCCUGCAAUCAGUGGGGAGACGGUCCAGUGUUCGCUUGG
Non-coding RNA from Microcebus murinus (gray mouse lemur), 8253 nucleotides. The record is from RefSeq and is a predicted model, not a curated record. NCBI's taxonomy places the organism in Eukaryota, Metazoa, Chordata, Mammalia, Primates, Cheirogaleidae.